UUUAUUUAAAAUUUAAAAAAAAAAAAUCUAAACAAUCAGCAUUAAUAAUUACCAUUGUGAAUUAUAACUAUUAGUAAAACAACUCUUUAAUCCUGUAUUCUCCUCUUUUUCAUCACGAUAAUGUUCUAGGAUCUCGUCCAACCUCCACUCGAACUAUUCUCACCGUCGUCGUCCCUCAAGAGUGCUGUCAUCCCUUGCAAUUUGCACCGCAGAGCCGUUUUCGUAGCAAUUCGCCGGACCGUCGACCACCAUAGCACCUUCCUCGUCGUGAUUCACGGCGUUGCCACCACUGUCGUAGCCCUUUUUACACAUCUGAGUGGUUGCUAUUGCAGGUCUUCUGAGCCAGCGCCGCCAGCCCUUCCACGUCAAUCUCCUCCUGCCACCAGCCCGUUCUAUGUGGUCGCUGCUGCAGGCCUCCUGGGAGAGCAACCCCGGCGCAUUGUUUUUGAAUCCGAAUCAUGUACAGUCACUCAAUGGUUCAAUCUCCCUCUCUAAAUUUCUGAUUUGUCCAAGUGCAUGUGUAUGGUAUUUGAAUUUUGGAUGAUCAAGUAUGUACUUUUUUGGAAUUUUUAUUAGUGUUAUGUUGUUUCUGUUAUAAACUAUGAUGAUGAGGGUGGCAGACGUUGGAUCUGUAUCAGAAUUCAUGAUUUUUUUUUGUUGGGUCCUUGUGGAAUUUGCGUUGUUUGUUGAUUUUGGGGAUUUGUGUUUUGUUAUUGCUAAUGAAGAUUAUUCUUGUUUUGUUGAUUUAGUGAUUUUCUGCAUUUACUAUGAUAAUGCUUGUAACAUCAUGUGUUUUUUGAGGAUUUUAAGACUAAAGUUGAAAAUCAAGAAUGAUUUUGAGG
RNAcentral lists this long non-coding RNA (842 nucleotides) under Arachis ipaensis. RNAcentral describes it as "long non-coding RNA (AIPA_LNC001443)". The record is from RNAcentral. Lineage: Eukaryota; Viridiplantae; Streptophyta; Magnoliopsida; Fabales; Fabaceae.